Long non-coding RNA from Lagenorhynchus albirostris (white-beaked dolphin), 327 nucleotides. RefSeq lists it as uncharacterized. The transcript has 3 exons. The record is from RefSeq and is a predicted model, not a curated record. NCBI's taxonomy places the organism in Eukaryota, Metazoa, Chordata, Mammalia, Artiodactyla, Delphinidae.
GAGACUGAAGCUGGAAAAGGUUAAGAAACUUGUGCAAGAUCACCAGCAAUAAGCAUCUGACCAGGACUCAGACCCAUGUAGCCAGACUCCAGAGUCUUUUACUACUGUACUGUGCAGCCUGGCUUAUAGGAUCUUAGUUCCCCGACUGGGGAUCGAACCCAGGCUCCCAGCAUUGGAAGCGAGAUUCUCAACCACUGGACCACCAGUGAAUCCCCUGUUGAUCUUAAAAAGUAUGGUUCCCAGUCAGGCAGCAUAUGUACAAGCAGAAUGCAAGGCCAUGCUCUAAGUAUUUGAUCAAUGAUCUGCUGUCUCUGAAGAACUCUCUGG